CCUACGGGAGGCAGCAGUGAGGAAUAUUGGUCAAUGGACGAGAGUCUGAACCAGCCAAGUAGCGUGAAGGAUGACUGCCCUAUGGGUUGUAAACUUCUUUUAUAUGGGAAUAAAAUGUUCCACGUGUGCGUUUUUGUAUGUACCAUAUGAAUAAGGAUCGGCUAACUCCGUGCCAGCAGCCGCGGUAAUAAGGAGGAUCCGAGCGUUAUCCGGAUUUAUUGGGUUUAAAGGGAGCGUAGGUGGAUUGUUAAGUCAGUUGUGAAAGUUUGCGGCUCAACCGUAAAAUUGCAGUUGAUACUGGCAGUCUUGAGUACAGUAGAGGUGGGCGGAAUUCGUGGUGUAGCGGUGAAAUGCUUAGAUAUCACGAAGAACUCCGAUUGCGAAGGCAGCUCACUGGACUGCCACUGACACUGAGGCUCGAAAGUGUGGGUAUCAAACAGGAUUAGAUACCCCUGUAGUC
This 460-nucleotide ribosomal RNA is filed under the name uncultured bacterium. RNAcentral describes it as "partial 16S ribosomal RNA". It matches the Rfam family "Bacterial small subunit ribosomal RNA", at positions 338 to 795 of the family's 1533-position model. The record is from RNAcentral.